UGGGGAAUAUUGCACAAUGGGCGAAAGCCUGAUGCAGCGACGCCGCGUGAGGGAUGACGGCCUUCGGGUUGUAAACCUCUUUCAGCAGGGACGAAGCGCAAGUGACGGUACCUGCAGAAGAAGCACCGGCUAACUACGUGCCAGCAGCCGCGGUAAUACGUAGGGUGCAAGCGUUGUCCGGAAUUACUGGGCGUAAAGAGUUCGUAGGCGGUUUGUCGCGUCGUUUGUGAAAACCAGCAGCUCAACUGCUGGCUUGCAGGCGAUGCGGGCAGACUUGAGUACUGCAGGGGANACUGGAAUUCCUGGUGUAGCGGUGAAAUGCGCAGAUAUCAGGAGGAACACCGGUGGCGAAGGCGGGUCUCUGGGCAGUAACUGACGCUGAGGAACGAAAGCGUGGGUAGCGAACAGGAUUAGAUACCCUGGUAGUCCACGCCGUAAACGGUGGGCGCUAGGUGUGGUUCCUUCCACGGAAUCCGUGCCGUAGCUAACGCAUUAAGCGCCCCCGCCUGGGGGAGUACGGCCGCAAGGCUAAAACUCAAAUGAAUUGACGGGGUCAUAGCUGUUU
Molecule: ribosomal RNA, 565 nt
Filed under: uncultured bacterium
Lineage: Bacteria
Description: partial 16S ribosomal RNA
Rfam family: Bacterial small subunit ribosomal RNA
Source: RNAcentral